AUUGUGGAUGAGUUGCAUUUCCCUGGACCCAUGGUAUCAGGAGAUGCAGGAACUACUCAGUAAACACCCUGGUGACCAAACCAAGUGCCCAGGGGCCAGCUGCCCCGCA
Molecule: small nucleolar RNA, 109 nt
Organism: Trichosurus vulpecula (common brushtail)
Lineage: Eukaryota; Metazoa; Chordata; Mammalia; Diprotodontia; Phalangeridae
Product: small nucleolar RNA SNORD67
Exons: 1
Source: RefSeq, a predicted model, not a curated record